GGGUUGUGAGGUUAAGCGACUAAGCGUACACGGUGGAUGCCCUGGCAGUCAGAGGCGAUGAAGGACGUGCUAAUCUGCGAUAAGCGUCGGUAAGGUGAUAUGAACCGUUAUAACCGGCGAUUUCCGAAUGGGGAAACCCAGUGUGAUUCGUCACACUAUCAUUAACUGAAUCCAUAGGUUAAUGAGGCGAACCGGGGGAACUGAAACAUCUAAGUACCCCGAGGAAAAGAAAUCAACCGAGAUUCCCCCAGUAGCGGCGAGCGAACGGGGAGCAGCCCAGAGCCUGAAUCAGUGUGUGUGUUAGUGGAAGCGUCUGGAAAGGCGCGCGAUACAGGGUGACAGCCCCGUACACAAAAAUGCACAUACUGUGAGCUCGAUGAGUAGGGCGGGACACGUGGUAUCCUGUCUGAAUAUGGGGGGACCAUCCUCCAAGGCUAAAUACUCCUGACUGACCGAUAGUGAACCAGUACCGUGAGGGAAAGGCGAAAAGAACCCCGGCGAGGGGAGUGAAAAAGAACCUGAAACCGUGUACGUACAAGCAGUGGGAGCCUCUUAAUGGGGUGACUGCGUACCUUUUGUAUAAUGGGUCAGCGACUUAUAUUCUGUAGCAAGGUUAACCGAAUAGGGGAGCCGAAGGGAAACCGAGUCUUAACUGGGCGUUAAGUUGCAGGGUAUAGACCCGAAACCCGGUGAUCUAGCCAUGGGCAGGUUGAAGGUUGGGUAACACUAACUGGAGGACCGAACCGACUAAUGUUGAAAAAUUAGCGGAUGACUUGUGGCUGGGGGUGAAAGGCCAAUCAAACCGGGAGAUAGCUGGUUCUCCCCGAAAGCUAUUUAGGUAGCGCCUCGUGAAUUCAUCUCCGGGGGUAGAGCACUGUUUCGGCAAGGGGGUCAUCCCGACUUACCAACCCGAUGCAAACUGCGAAUACCGGAGAAUGUUAUCACGGGAGACACACGGCGGGUGCUAACGUCCGUCGUGAAGAGGGAAACAACCCAGACCGCCAGCUAAGGUCCCAAAGUCAUGGUUAAGUGGGAAACGAUGUGGGAAGGCCCAGACAGCCAGGAUGUUGGCUUAGAAGCAGCCAUCAUUUAAAGAAAGCGUAAUAGCUCACUGGUCGAGUCGGCCUGCGCGGAAGAUGUAACGGGGCUAAACCAUGCACCGAAGCUGCGGCAGCGACGCUUAUGCGUUGUUGGGUAGGGGAGCGUUCUGUAAGCCUGUGAAGGUGUACUGUGAGGUAUGCUGGAGGUAUCAGAAGUGCGAAUGCUGACAUAAGUAACGAUAAAGCGGGUGAAAAGCCCGCUCGCCGGAAGACCAAGGGUUCCUGUCCAACGUUAAUCGGGGCAGGGUGAGUCGACCCCUAAGGCGAGGCCGAAAGGCGUAGUCGAUGGGAAACAGGUUAAUAUUCCUGUACUUGGUGUUACUGCGAAGGGGGGACGGAGAAGGCUAUGUUGGCCGGGCGACGGUUGUCCCGGUUUAAGCGUGUAGGCUGGUUUUCCAGGCAAAUCCGGAAAAUCAAGGCUGAGGCGUGAUGACGAGGCACUACGGUGCUGAAGCAACAAAUGCCCUGCUUCCAGGAAAAGCCUCUAAGCAUCAGGUAACAUCAAAUCGUACCCCAAACCGACACAGGUGGUCAGGUAGAGAAUACCAAGGCGCUUGAGAGAACUCGGGUGAAGGAACUAGGCAAAAUGGUGCCGUAACUUCGGGAGAAGGCACGCUGAUAUGUAGGUGAAGCGACUUGCUCGUGGAGCUGAAAUCAGUCGAAGAUACCAGCUGGCUGCAACUGUUUAUUAAAAACACAGCACUGUGCAAACACGAAAGUGGACGUAUACGGUGUGACGCCUGCCCGGUGCCGGAAGGUUAAUUGAUGGGGUCAGCGCAAGCGAAGCUCUUGAUCGAAGCCCCGGUAAACGGCGGCCGUAACUAUAACGGUCCUAAGGUAGCGAAAUUCCUUGUCGGGUAAGUUCCGACCUGCACGAAUGGCGUAAUGAUGGCCAGGCUGUCUCCACCCGAGACUCAGUGAAAUUGAACUCGCUGUGAAGAUGCAGUGUACCCGCGGCAAGACGGAAAGACCCCGUGAACCUUUACUAUAGCUUGACACUGAACAUUGAGCCUUGAUGUGUAGGAUAGGUGGGAGGCUUUGAAGUGUGGACGCCAGUCUGCAUGGAGCCGGCCUUGAAAUACCACCCUUUAAUGUUUGAUGUUCUAACGUUGGCCCGUAAUCCGGGUUGCGGACAGUGUCUGGUGGGUAGUUUGACUGGGGCGGUCUCCUCCUAAAGAGUAACGGAGGAGCACGAAGGUUGGCUAAUCCUGGUCGGACAUCAGGAGGUUAGUGCAAUGGCAUAAGCCAGCUUGACUGCGAGCGUGACGGCGCGAGCAGGUGCGAAAGCAGGUCAUAGUGAUCCGGUGGUUCUGAAUGGAAGGGCCAUCGCUCAACGGAUAAAAGGUACUCCGGGGAUAACAGGCUGAUACCGCCCAAGAGUUCAUAUCGACGGCGGUGUUUGGCACCUCGAUGUCGGCUCAUCACAUCCUGGGGCUGAAGUAGGUCCCAAGGGUAUGGCUGUUCGCCAUUUAAAGUGGUACGCGAGCUGGGUUUAGAACGUCGUGAGACAGUUCGGUCCCUAUCUGCCGUGGGCGCUGGAGAACUGAGGGGGGCUGCUCCUAGUACGAGAGGACCGGAGUGGACGCAUCACUGGUGUUCGGGUUGUCAUGCCAAUGGCACUGCCCGGUAGCUAAAUGCGGAAGAGAUAAGUGCUGAAAGCAUCUAAGCACGAAACUUGCCCCGAGAUGAGUUCUCCCUGACUCCUUGAGAGUCCUGAAGGAACGUUGAAGACGACGACGUUGAUAGGCCGGGUGUGUAAGCGCAGCGAUGCGUUGAGCUAACCGGUACUAAUGAACCGUGAGGCUUAACCUUACAACGCCGAAG
This 2924-nucleotide ribosomal RNA is filed under the name Escherichia coli. RNAcentral's name for it is "23S ribosomal RNA". It matches the Rfam family "Bacterial large subunit ribosomal RNA". The record is from RNAcentral. Lineage: Bacteria; Pseudomonadati; Pseudomonadota; Gammaproteobacteria; Enterobacterales; Enterobacteriaceae.